Molecule: long non-coding RNA, 935 nt
Organism: Setaria italica (foxtail millet)
Lineage: Eukaryota; Viridiplantae; Streptophyta; Magnoliopsida; Poales; Poaceae
Exons: 2
Source: RefSeq, a predicted model, not a curated record
CUCGUUGCAAGAACUUAUUGGAGAGGUGAAGAAGAGGAGCAGCACAAGAGCAAGGCCAAGAAAAGUUUCGGGAAAUUUGUUGCUGUAUAUCAUGUGUGAGAAAUGGAGAGUCCACAUGAUGUUCUUUCUCAAGAAAUCAACAUGGAAGCAUAGGCGUGAGUUGUGUCCUUAGAGUUUAUAAUGGUAAAUGGGUUCAGAUGAAGAAAGAGCACGGAGAGCAAACAGGAGCAGCUGCUGUCAUCAUUUAACCGUUUUGUUUGACCUUUCAGAAUUUAUUCAACAACAAAAAUUUGGUCAAGGAUUGGCUGCUUCAGGCACAUCCUUGUUGUGAAUUGGGAUUUGACAUUUGCUACAGCACUUUCUAAGUUCACACCAUGGUGAUAGUGUACAUUGGUACGGCUGAUUUCCAUGUGAGAAACGACAGAAUUUGAACGGAGGAGGCACAAUUCUGAAGGACGAAUUUCACAGAUUACCACAAUAUAAUUCAAAGCAUCCAUUGAUGUAGCGAUUGGCAUGGUUGGAGAAGGGCAAGUGGAUUGCAGGAAGAUUCUUGCUGAAUGCUGACCGAAGCUUUUACUUUCUAGCCAACUACAUAAUUCAAGGUCCAAGGCUGUGGUUGACGCACGUGUUUACAAAACUGCAAUUUUCCGUUGCGUCGACGCACUGCAGACAACGACUUGCAUGAUAGCAAGUGAUCUUCAGAGUACAAGUGUACGUCGGACUCAACUAGUGAUUGCAGGCCGGCUUGUGUUUUGGACUCGGUAAAUAUCUCCGGAACAUACAUUUUCUUUCUUUCUUUUGUAAAGCUCCUUUUAUUGUGGCCAAUUGAAUUUGUAAGUCUUGUGCAAUUACGGUGGACAUAUAAAGAUCCUUUUCACUCCAAAUCUUCAAUGUGUCUGCUCUGAUAGAAUGGUUUGGGCAGUCUGCAAAAAUUA